Molecule: ribosomal RNA, 5657 nt
Filed under: Triticum aestivum (bread wheat)
Lineage: Eukaryota; Viridiplantae; Streptophyta; Magnoliopsida; Poales; Poaceae
Description: partial small subunit ribosomal RNA
Source: RNAcentral
UACUUCGUUUACUAGUUUCAACGUGACGUUGUCACAGUCUAUACGGUUGAACGAUUUGAACUAUCUCAAGGGAUGGGUCCAGACAACGUCGGAAAUGGAUAUGGAAGUGUCGGCACCCUUUACUACUGUUACCUAAAGUAUCUUCCUAACGGACAAAGUGUCGUAAUGUUGACGUAAAAUCACUAACACCUGUUUGAUUGAUUCAUACCCGUGAAGUAACGAGAGUUCGUGGGAAUGUGUCGAUGGUGUCACCGUCUUGUUAAGAACCUAGCACACACGGCAGACGUACCGGAAGGACAUAGCGACCAAAGACUAGCACUAGGUCAAAAAUGGUCGAGCAAAACCUUUCUCCACACGUUGUUUUGUCCAUAAUUUGACGCGUACUCAAGCCCAGUUGUAGGAGUCUGACUGCUCGUUUGGCUUGCCCACUUGGUCGUCCACCUUCCCAUAGAGUCUACAAAAUAGUCGCGGGCAGGCUUAGCAACCAAGUCGACCGAGGGCGAGACACUUAACACCAUAUUAUGUUUAACCGUGAGAAGCUGACCGGCAUGAGGUAAACUUGACCAGAUACCCGUGGGAGGGGUAAUAAAACCGUAUAGAGGUCACCUGCGACAACCGUCAAGUCUGCGAGUUGUCACCAACGCACUGUCCGUACACUAGUACCUCAGUCAAUUUGUUGUAAACAAUGCAUACGUCUUCGCUUACUUCUAAGUCCGACUAUUUGUGGCUUGCCUUUCUACAAAGCUCCAUCCGCUGUGCCACAAGCAGUUGUACGUUGGCAUGUAAGUCGGAAGAUAGCGGGGAGCGCGUUUAGUGUUCGACCGAAAGUUUAUGAAACCUGGAAAACUUUAUGACCGGGCCUAGCCACGUCACCGAAUGUUCGACUUCGACGGCCUGUUGACGUCUCAUGUGGAUCAAAAAGUACAGAGGAACGAGUUCGCGGUACAGUUUGGUCUGGUCGUCCAUAACGGACAAGAAGGAAGUUGUAGUUGAGUGGACGUCCAAGGCAGAAUGAAGUAGCUAGCAGUGAACCAAAGCGCACCCCUGUUCUACCACCGAGUUCAUGACCAGUUCACCUCGGUAAGAGGUCGUAGCAGCCGUUGGACCCUUCGGGUUCUGUACGACUUCGUUGUUAAAGGUGCGCGUGGCCGAACCCCCGUUCGGCAAAAGGAAGAUCCCCCCUAACAAUCGUCGUGACUGGUCCUGUGUAGCUGUUAUGGACUUAGCGAUGUUUUCCUAGGCCGUUCGCGUCUUGUCCGCUCCGGGUUCUCCUCUCGGGUCCGCGGCUGUUCCAACGCUCCGGGUAUUACCCGGGCGAUCAGUGACGGAUAUACUACUGAACAGGAACAAGACAUUGCCCACCGACCGCCGAAACCGGCUCCUUACCAAUCCUAUCGACCGCACUCACUUAACCGACAUUAGAAGGAGGAGAGAGCAACUUUGAGCGUACUUGUCUCGACUCUAGACUCACUUAAGUAUUAAUUAAAGCUCUCUUGGUUCGAACCCGAAUGUGACGUCGUAGGCUCGCGUCGGCGACCGCACACGCUCGGCGGCGGCGCACGACCGGGGGCGCAUACGACCGGCGCAUGCACGAACGACACCCGCAGGUUCCGGUUACCUCCGGCGGCGGAAGUCGAGCGAGAACGGGACGACGGAAGUUACGGAGAUAGUUUAAGAGGCGGGUAAAGAACGUCUAAUAAGACACAUAUACAGAUGUUCCACGAGCUACUUUCAGGUUUGUCGGAUGUCCCCUUCUAAUGAAGGAAAAAUACGAAAAGACACAUGAGUUAUUAAGAAAGAAGAAGAAGAUUUUACAUCGACGUCAGUAGUUGUUUAAUCUGGGGCGUUCAAGAAGGGGUUUUACAUCACAUGUACGUUCUAAUUAUGUAAUAGCUUUUAUACGUUUCGUGAAAUUUAUCUACAACGUUUCGUAAAAUUUAUCUACAACAUACAAAUGAGGGAUCCAAAUGACAUAUAACUCUACGUUAUGUGUAUACACUUGGUCACUAUACAUACUGUAAAAGUUAUCUCUAUGAGAAACAGAAGUGGUAAAUGAUAAUCUGUACUUUUCGUAGUCGAUAUAUCAUGAGGGAGGCAAGGCUUAAUGAACAGAACCUAAACAGAUCUAUGCCUACAUAGAUCUGAGUAAAAUCACGAUCUAUGGAGGCAUAGAUCUAUUUAGGUUCUGUUUAUUAAGCCUUGCCUCCCUCAUAAUAAGUAACCUAUAUGACAUACAAUCGUGUGUUCCAUGUUGAGAUACUUUUUGUUGUUGACCUAUAAUACGUAGAAUAGUUUAACAAUUGAGAACUCCUCAAAUUGAAUUUUUCGAUAAAAGCGUUGAUAACCAUGAUGACAUCAGACAUCUACACGUCUCUAGUAAGAUCCCCAUAAUUCUAAUCAAAAGGUUUGGUACACAUUUAGAUUUAAGAUCCACACGUCUCUAGAUAAAAGGGUUGAUAACCAUGAUAACAUCAGACAUCUCCGCAUCUAUAGAUAACGAUCGUUAGAUUUAAAGAUCUAGUCGUCGAACCAGAAUUCGAAUGUUUUCUGAUGAAACAGACUCGUUAUUAUCCUACAUUAACAAAACUCACGAUCUGUACCCACAAGCAUCUUAAAACAGGAGUGAAGAACCGGGGUUAAGUCUAAUCAAAAAAAGAAGAGUGCUCACAAUCAAGUAAACCACGAAAACGACAGUAUGAAUCUCGGGACCAAGUCUUAUCAAAAAAAGGAAGGUCAAGUCCGAUCACUAAAAACAUAUAGUUAAAACACAAGUGUUAAAACGCAGUCUGGUAUCUUCCUAAAACAGAGUACGAAACCGACAGAAUGAGAUAAAAGAUACGUUUAAAAUCUAGCGGUCAAGCCUAGUACUAGUAGUACAGGAGGUUGAUGGUACAUAAGAAUGUAAUAACGUAAUAACAAAAUAAUCCUAUCUCUAUGAUUGAGUCAAGCCGCGAUCUCGGUGACUAAACAUAGACUAUUAAGAGACUCAACUCCAGGAUUAUAGGUAUGAUUAUAACCAACCAGACUAGGUCACAUCUGAACACCCUGAGUAAUAGGAUAAAAAAUGAUACUCCAGACAAGAAGUAAACAAAAAGAUCGUUUACCUUGUUGUAAGAUACGUUGAAAGUUUGUAGACUUAUUUGAGAAAUAGAAAUCGGGUGCAUGCAUACCACCAACAAGUGAGAAACCACAAAACAAAGGAAAGAAGACUUGUUUGUCCUUUGGGGACACGUUGAGAGUUGUUUGUCUUGUAUACAUAGGAAGACUACCCAAGUAUCGCAGGAGGCGACGACGGAACAGCGAGAAGCAACUGCGAAGUACACCAACAAAUAGUCCCAGGGACCCGCACACCCCCCCACAAACACCGCAGCCCGAGUUAGGUGCUCAGCGGCCUCAGGUAGCCGCACUGCGUGGACGACCUCUUCGACCGCAAACUCCUGUGCCGCGGCCUCGGUGUACGUCUAGCACGUCCUCCAUCUCCGGUGUCCCCCGUUGCAGCCGCGGAGGCGCAGGUCGACCGGGAAUGAGCUCUUCUCCAGGUCCUCCCUGUCUUCUUGGGACUCUCCAAAGAAGUCCUUGAUGAAUUGGAACAACCUAUACUCCCCCACUAGCGCUUGGGCGACUAUCGAGGGUUCCUCCGAGAACCCUAGUAGUUACGGCUAUAAUAAGUCUUCAAGAUAGUAUACUGUGUACAACGUGACCGAAAACUUCACGGUCCGCUAACCGAAGUUCUUUCUCUACCAUGUUAAUACCGACAGUAUGUCCAACAAACCCGACGACGUCUACGGCCGAAUAGAGAACGUCUACAACGACGUCUUCGUUUUGUACGUAGACUCCGACAACCAUGCUACCCUCAUCGUGAAGAACAAACGUGCAACGGACCCGUUCACUGUAGACUAACAAAUCCAGGACUCUUUUAACUCGAACCGGAACCUUAACAAUUUGGUAACAGUCAGCAAACAGGUCUUAGAAAGGAAGUAUACAAAGUCUGUUUAGUUCCGUUGAUAAAAGAAUUUCCUGUUUUCCCGGUCCGGAGGGCAGGCGCAGCGCGGCGGCGGCCGUACCUCGACCAAUUCCGGUGAGUAAAGGUACCGUCCCAGACUUUCGACCCUUGUUCUUUGUCUUCGGGAGACAGUACCUAUAGGAUGACUUAAACGUAGAAUAAAGGUAAUGACGGUGAGUGACGCGAAACCUGAUAGGCAUAGAGUUCAGUAACAGAUCUCUGGUAAAAUAACCUCUCCAAACUAACAUAAAAAAUAACCUGCUAAGACUUCAUAUUUGUUAAUCUACUGGUCACGAGGUGGCGCGCGAUACCCACAAUCCCGGGCCGUCCUCCUGUUCCGAGACCCUACCGAAGGUACCGUUUGUCUGUCAAUCCCUUCAUCACUCGUCCCGUGUCAUACACCGUCCCGGCUCAAGAGGUUGAGGACGAAGGUAGUGUACUUCCUACCACAUACAGGUACGCCGCUGAUGACCAUCUAAGUCACGACUUACCGUUGGUCCUCGAGUUCUCACUGUUCCUGCAGAUAUAGUUGUGAAGUUACACAGCUACCGCACACCAUCUGCGUACUCGAGGAGUAGAUGCAGCUGGAGGUGACGCCGAGUACGUCGCAAACUGGCCUGCCAUUACCGCGUCUUCUCGUAAAGAUAUUCCCGUUGAUUAUCGUCUCCAAUUUUAAACUCGUACGAAACUUUAAUGUCCUUUUAACUCAUCACCCAAGGUCAAUCCCCGUGUUUACAUUAACAGGGACUUUAUAAACCACCUAAAGUUUUGCUUUAUUCGAUUCUGACCGACGUAACGAUUCCAGGACUUCCCUUUUUCCUUUAAUUUUAGAGUGAACCAUUUAGUAACCAGUUUACAAAAAAGGUAGUAACUUAUUGGAAACACAACAAACAAGUACAUUAGCUGGUUUGGUAAACAAAAUCUCUAGUACAUUAUUAACAAAAAACCAUAUAUGAAAAAAAUCGUACUCAAAGAUAAUUAACUAUUCUGAUACUAUGUAAAGUAAAAAAACAACUCCGUUUCUAUAAAGUAAAACAAACGAUACGGUCUAGAUGUUUAUACCAACAGGAACUUGUAAUGGAACCCCACGGAACCCGUAACUAUGCAGAGGUUGCAUAGAUUAAAAAAAAUAACAAAGUACAAUAAUAUAAUAGACAAAACCUACAAAAUAUACGUAAUUAUACAACAAAAUAUAAUAAAAACCCUGAUUGGAUAAUUGGAUCUCGGAUCACGGUCAAGAACAAAAAAGUAACAAAAUCUCAAAGCGUCUUUUCCUUAUGGUUUGCCUCAGGUUUACCUUACUUUAAAAGUGUUACUAAAAAGAACCUGGUUUUCUGUAGGUCUCCCGAACCUCACGUGCAGCUCUUUCAGUACUCCGCCGGUGUUCCAGCCCUCCGCGAGGGUCCCCCAUCCCGCGCGGGGGGUGGGAAGACCCGGGGAGUACUGAGAUGGCUGGAUAAAGAAGGCGGAUAUAUAAGAGUCACUUCCUUUAUACGGGAUCUCCGUUAUUAUUUCAACAAUUAAUAAAGGAAUAUAGUACUAUCUACAAAUAAUAAGUACGAUCUUAACAUAAUUGACCUUUGAAUUAUAUACACACUUAUGUAUCUGUUUUUCUCACAGUGAUCAAACGGAGAUGAGCUGAUCGAGCAACUUA